CGUGCAUCGGUGGGGUUCCUCGGCCUGGUCUGCACCCUCUCACAAUCCGGGACCCCUCGGCGGAUGUCAGAGAGCUGGUUUUGGCCUGAUCCUGCAGGCCAGGCCGAGGGACCCCACUGGUGCACG
This 126-nucleotide microRNA precursor is filed under the name Myotis lucifugus (little brown bat). RNAcentral describes it as "mir-9193 microRNA precursor family". It matches the Rfam family "mir-9193 microRNA precursor family". The record is from Rfam by way of RNAcentral. Lineage: Eukaryota; Metazoa; Chordata; Mammalia; Chiroptera; Vespertilionidae.